Molecule: ribosomal RNA, 319 nt
Filed under: uncultured eukaryote
Lineage: Eukaryota
Description: partial 18S ribosomal RNA
Rfam family: Eukaryotic small subunit ribosomal RNA
Source: RNAcentral
CCCUUAGAUGUUCUGGGCCACACGCGCGCUACAAUGGUCUUCGCAAACGGAUGCAUUCUCGAAGGAGAAUGCCAAUCUUGGAAUCUAUGCCUUGGUCGGGACAGUUGCUUGCAAUUUUUCGACUCGAACCAGGAAUUCCUUGUAAUCGUGAUUCAUCACAUCACGAUGAAUACGUCCCUGCCCUUUGUACACACCGCCCGUCGCUCCUACCGAUCGAAGAGUUAGGUGAAUUGUUUUGAUCGAUAAGAUUUGACUAUGGUCAACUCUCGUUGUGAAAUUCUGUGAAUCUGACUGUUUAGAGGAAGGAAAAGUCGUAACA